RNAcentral lists this long non-coding RNA (216 nucleotides) under Ursus americanus (American black bear). Its description in RNAcentral is "lncRNA (ENSUAMG00000001393.1)". Lineage: Eukaryota; Metazoa; Chordata; Mammalia; Carnivora; Ursidae. The record is from RNAcentral.
CAGUAGGCUACUGAAGACAGCAAUCGUAGAUGCAAAUGGAUAAAUCUGUUUUUCACAUCUAGAUGCCAAACACUAACUUUUAUGAAACAUCUGCUCUUCAGAUUUGCUAGUUUCAGAAGAUGACAGUGAAAUGUGAAGAAGUUACGUUUCUUAUGUGAUACUUGAAAGUUAGUGAUUGCUUGCCAAAUUUUCCCGAUAAUGAAAUAUGACUUAGAA